UCGGAUCAGGUAGGGAUACCCGCUGAACUUAAGCAUAUCAAAGCGG
RNAcentral lists this ribosomal RNA (46 nucleotides) under Nephromopsis nivalis. RNAcentral's name for it is "Flavocetraria nivalis partial 28S ribosomal RNA". Lineage: Eukaryota; Fungi; Ascomycota; Lecanoromycetes; Lecanorales; Parmeliaceae. The record is from RNAcentral.